AACGAACGCUGGCGGCAUGCCUAACACAUGCAAGUCGAACGAGACCUUCGGGUCUAGUGGCGCACGGGUGCGUAACGCGUGGGAACCUGCCCUUAGGUUCGGAAUAACUCCCCGAAAGGGGUGCUAAUACCGGAUAAUGUCUUCGGACCAAAGAUUUAUCGCCUUUGGAUGGGCCCGCGUUGGAUUAGCUAGUUGUAGGGUAAAAGCCUACCAGGGCGACGAUCCAUAGCUGGUCUGAGAGGAUGAUCAGCCACACUGGGACUGAGACACGGCCCAGACUCCUACGGGAGGCAGCAGUGGGGAAUAUUGGACAAUGGGCGAAAGCCUGAUCCAGCAAUGCCGCGUGAGUGAUGAAGGCCUUAGGGUUGUAAAGCUCUUUUACCCGGGAUGAUAAUGACAGUACCGGGAGAAUAAGCUCCGGCUAACUCCGUG
Molecule: ribosomal RNA, 432 nt
Filed under: uncultured bacterium
Lineage: Bacteria
Description: partial 16S ribosomal RNA
Rfam family: Bacterial small subunit ribosomal RNA
Source: RNAcentral